CCUCCUCGAUCUGCUGCGGGCAGAUGAAGUGGAUAUGCACGUCGAUGCCGCCGGAGGUGAGGAUGCGGCCCUCCCCCGCGAUGAUCUCGGUGCCCGGGCCGAUGACGAUAUCGACGCCCGGCUGCGUGUCCGGAUUGCCCGCCUUGCCGAUGGCGGCGAUCCGGCCGUCGCGCAGCCCGACAUCGGCCUUGUAGAUCCCGGUGUGGUCGAGGAUCAGCGCAUUGGUGAUCACGGUAUCCAUGGUGCCGCCGUCGCGCCCGGUCUGGGACUGCCCCAUGCCGUCGCGGAUG
RNAcentral lists this small RNA (290 nucleotides) under Roseomonas mucosa. RNAcentral's name for it is "5' ureB small RNA". It matches the Rfam family "5' ureB small RNA". Lineage: Bacteria; Pseudomonadati; Pseudomonadota; Alphaproteobacteria; Acetobacterales; Roseomonadaceae. The record is from Rfam by way of RNAcentral.